Sorghum bicolor (sorghum) is the source of this 565-nucleotide long non-coding RNA. RefSeq lists it as uncharacterized. NCBI's taxonomy places the organism in Eukaryota, Viridiplantae, Streptophyta, Magnoliopsida, Poales, Poaceae. The record is from RefSeq and is a predicted model, not a curated record. The transcript has 2 exons.
CCUCGCCCGCCUCCUCCUCGCCGCGCCGUCGCCCGCCUCCUCCUCCACGCACCCAACAGAUUAUGGAGACACUCUUGCACAAAGUGGCUGCCAUGGCACAGAGUUGGACUGUCUUAUGCAAGAUAGAGUAUCAACCAAUUUUGAAGGAGAAAGUGGCGAAGAUUCAAGGGGAGAGCUUCUAUGGUGAUGUGGCCUCCGAGCUAUUUCUAGCCUGAGAUCUUCGCUGGAAGCAGGAUCUCUCCCUGGAGUUUUCUGCGUUUUCUGGUGGUCCUUUCCAAUCAGACAGCCUUGUUUGUUUGUAGAUGGUCAAGAAAAAGUCAAGCAGUUAGGUGAAAAGUUCCCGAUAAUCAAGGGUCUUCUUGGUAUACUUUGAUCCCUUUGGACAUUGCAAUUUUUUGUUAUGCUAUGACUAUGAUGCAAUUGUAUUACUCGCUACUGUGUAAUAUUACUUUCCCAAUGGGCUCCUUGCAGCCACUGUGUUACUGCAUCCAUAUAAUUAUGCAUAUCCAUCAUUGUAGGCACCAUUAAGUGGAAGAAAUCGAAGGACACUAUAAUUCUUUUAGCA